This 428-nucleotide ribosomal RNA is filed under the name uncultured bacterium. RNAcentral's name for it is "bacterial SSU rRNA". It matches the Rfam family "Bacterial small subunit ribosomal RNA", at positions 28 to 524 of the family's 1533-position model. The record is from RNAcentral.
GGUGAACGCUAGUAGUAUGCUUAACACAUGCGAGUCGAACGGAGGACAAUACUUCGUGGCGUACGGGUGAGUAACACACAGGAAUCUGCCUUUUAGUUCAGGAUAAAAUUCUGAAUAAUCAAAGAAAACUUUUCGCUAAAAGAUGAGCCUGUGUAGGAUUAGGUAGUUGGUAUUUGGGUAAAGCCUACCGAGCCUAUGAUCCUUAGCUGUUCUGAGAGGUUGUACAGCCACACUGGGACUGAGACAAGGCCCAGGCUUCAUUUGGAGCCAGCAGUGAGGAAUUUUGGACAAUGAGCGAAAGCUUGAUCCAGCAAUACUACAUGAGUGAUGAAGUCCUUCGGGACGUAAAGACCUUUAUGAGGGAGGAAGUAAUUGACGUUACCUCAUGAAUAAGGGGCUCCUAACUCUGUGCCAGCAGCCGCGGUAAU